AAAAAGUCAAAUCAUGGAUUUCCGUAUUCAAUUUUGACUGUCCGUCUUAUAUAAAUUUUUUUUAUAAUUCGUAUUUUUAUUGUUGUUAGAUGAUAAGAUAUGAUUAAUAUUUUAUGCGUGACUUGUUUUUUUAAUUUUUUUUCAUAAUUUUUCAAAUAAGACGGACGGUCAAACGUUAGACACGGAAACCUGGGUUUGUCUUUUUU
MicroRNA precursor from Oryza sativa Japonica Group (Japanese rice), 206 nucleotides. It matches the Rfam family "MIR812 microRNA precursor family". NCBI's taxonomy places the organism in Eukaryota, Viridiplantae, Streptophyta, Magnoliopsida, Poales, Poaceae. The record is from Rfam.